Molecule: unclassified non-coding RNA, 673 nt
Filed under: Trichophyton concentricum
Lineage: Eukaryota; Fungi; Ascomycota; Eurotiomycetes; Onygenales; Arthrodermataceae
Description: sequence contains 18S rRNA gene, ITS1, 5.8S rRNA gene, ITS2, 28S rRNA gene
Rfam family: 5.8S ribosomal RNA (bases 286-439)
Source: RNAcentral
CAAGGUUUCCGUAGGUGAACCUGCGGAAGGAUCAUUAACGCGCAGGCCGGAGGCUGGCCCCCCACGAUAGGAAUCAACGUUCCAUCAGGGGUGUGCAGAUGUGCGCCGGUCUUACGCCCCAUUCUUGUCUACCUUACUCGGUUGCCUCGGCGGGCCGCGCUCUCCUGGGAGAGUCGUCCGGCGAGCCUCUUUGGGGGCUUUAGCUGGAUCGCGCCCGCCGGAGGACAGACAUCAAAAAAUCUUGGAAAGCUGUCAGUCUGAGCGUUAGCAAGUAAAAUUAGUUAAAACUUUCAACAACGGAUCUCUUGGUUCCGGCAUCGAUGAAGAACGCAGCGAAAUGCGAUAAGUAAUGUGAAUUGCAGAAUUCCGUGAAUCAUCGAAUCUUUGAACGCACAUUGCGCCCUCUGGUAUUCCGGGGGGCAUGCCUGUUCGAGCGUCAUUUCAACCCCUCAAGCCCGGCUUGUGUGAUGGACGACCGUCCGACCUCCUCUUUCGGGGGCGGGACGCGCCCGAAAAGCAGUGGCCAGGCCGCGAUCCCGGCUUCCUGGGCGAAUGGGCAGUCAAACCAGCGCCCUCAGGACCGGCCGCUCUGGCCUUCCCCCAAAUCUCUCUGAGAUAUUUUUUCAGGUUGACCUCGGAUCAGGUAGGGAUACCCGCUGAACUUAAGCAUAUC